Molecule: long non-coding RNA, 404 nt
Organism: Suricata suricatta (meerkat)
Lineage: Eukaryota; Metazoa; Chordata; Mammalia; Carnivora; Herpestidae
Exons: 2
Source: RefSeq, a predicted model, not a curated record
GAGCAAUGAGUAAAGACCUUGAAUUCAUAGAGCGUUUUUAUCUAUGUGAAAGAGAUAAAGAAAUAAAGCCAUAAUGUACUUUCAGAACGUAGUGACUGCUAUAAAGAAAAAUAAAAGCAAGCUUGCUCCAAGGAAAGCCAGCUGCCAUUCCAUGAGCUGCCCUGUCGGGAAGCCCACGAGGAACUGAAUCUCUGUGUCCAAUAACCCUUGAGCGACCACAUCCUGCUAAUUACCGUAUAAGUGACUUUGGGAGCAGAUCCUCCCCCAAGAUGAACCUGGAGAUGACUACUUGUGAGAGACCCUGAACCAGAGGACUAGGCUAAGCUGCAGAUUCCUGACCGGUGGACACAUGUGUUGGUUUUAAAGCCACUAUGUUUUUCUUCAUAAAAUAAGUAAUAUAACAA